This 254-nucleotide ribosomal RNA is filed under the name uncultured bacterium. Its description in RNAcentral is "partial 16S ribosomal RNA". It matches the Rfam family "Bacterial small subunit ribosomal RNA", at positions 524 to 776 of the family's 1533-position model. The record is from RNAcentral.
UACGUAGGGUGCAAGCGUUAAGUCGGAAUUACUGGGCGUAAAGCGUGCGCAGGCGGUUCUAUAAGACAGAUGUGAAAUCCCCGGGCUCAACCUGGGAACUGCAUUUGUGACUGUAGAGCUGGAGUGCGGCAGAGGGGGAUGGAAUUCCGCGUGUAGCAGUGAAAUGCGUAGAUAUGCGGAGGAACACCGAUGGCGAAGGCAAUCCCCUGGGCCUGCACUGACGCUCAUGCACGAAAGCGUGGGGAGCAAACAGG